ACUGCUACAUCAUCCUCAUCCUCACCUGUGAGGAAAAGUUCAUCAAGAAAAAGACGGCAGGAGAGGUUUCAGUCAAGAUUGGUCACACUACGGGAACAUCAUAACAAUUGCUCCAAGCGCUUUAAUAGAGCAGAAGUUGAAAAAACCAACAGAACAAAAAAGACUGCCAUACUUGAGGAUUGCGUUGUAUUCGAGUCUUCUGAUGCACCAUGUGCUAUGUGUACCUCUGUAAAGGCAUCACCACCCUCUCGCCCUUCUCCACUCCCCUCAUCAUCAUCAUCAUCAGCUGCCCCUGUGAUGGGCACAUCAUCUUCAUCCUCCCCAUCAUCACCUGCCCCUUUGCCCUGUGAUGCAUCCACUUCUGUGAUCUCUCCAUCACAGGUGUCCCAGACACUCUCAAUAAGGGAGGUUCAUCAAUCCCUUCAAAAAGAAAAUGGGAAGACUCUGAGGUAAAAGCAGUUGAAAAACAUAUGAUGAAGUUCAUAAAGACCUGCAGAGUUCCUGGUAAGCAAGACUGAGAGAUGCAUUAAAGCAGAGUCAGAAGCCUUAAAGGAACAAACAUGGACUGGUGUGAAAAAUUAUGUGCGGAACAGGAUCACAACUU
Cyprinus carpio (common carp) is the source of this 604-nucleotide long non-coding RNA. RefSeq lists it as uncharacterized. NCBI's taxonomy places the organism in Eukaryota, Metazoa, Chordata, Actinopteri, Cypriniformes, Cyprinidae. The record is from RefSeq and is a predicted model, not a curated record.